RNA transcript from Populus trichocarpa (black cottonwood), 1196 nucleotides. It is a transcript of the gene named flavin mononucleotide hydrolase 1, chloroplatic, with no coding region annotated. The transcript has 8 exons. The record is from RefSeq and is a predicted model, not a curated record. Lineage: Eukaryota; Viridiplantae; Streptophyta; Magnoliopsida; Malpighiales; Salicaceae.
CUCCCACCAACACCACCUUGAUUUUAGAUUCGAGGAACCAGUAAAUGGCAGUGGCCCUGACAGUGAGAGCAGUGCAUGUCCCUCUGAAAAAAGUCCUACCAAAAUCAACAAGAAAUAACAACCUCAACUACAGGAAGAAGAAGAUGAUGCCAAUCGUUUCUUCCUUCCCCAUCAGGACGGAGCAGAACGUUAAUAACAGAAAGCUUCCUAUACUCCUUUUUGACAUCAUGGACACCAUUGUUCGCGACCCAUUUUACCAUGACGUUGCUCCUUUCUUCGGAAUGUCUUUCGAGGAAUUGAUAGAAUCCAAGCACCCAACUGCUUGGAUUGAAUUUGAAGAGGGGAGGGUUGAUGAGAUGGAGUUGGCAAGAAAAUUCUUCAAAGACAAAAGAUCUUUUGAUUUAGAAGGCCUCAAAAACUGUAUGAGGAGAGGAUAUUCCUAUAUAGAUGGUAUUGAAGAGCUGCUUUGCAAUUUAAAAGAAAAUAACUAUGAGAUGCAUGCUUUUACAAAUUAUCCUAUCUGGUACAGACUGAUUGAAGAGAAGCUAAAUAUCUCAACAUAUUUAUCUUGGACAUUUUGUUCUUGUAUGAUUGGAAAGAGGAAGCCUGAUCCUGAUUUCUAUCUGGAAGUCAUAAGACAUCUUAAAGUUGAUCCAACAAGCUGCAUUUUUAUUGAUGACAGGAGAAGUCACCAAGAAAUGUGAAAAUUACCAAAUGACGUACCCCAUGGCUAAUUCCUGUGAAGGCUAGUAUCCUUCUGUUGCUGGUUGAGAAAUGUAAAAGCUGCAAUUGAAAUUGGCAUUAAUGGCCUGCAAUUCAAGAAUGCAAAUUUGCUGCGUCAAGAUUUGUCUAAGAUGGGGAUUGAUAUAUCAACAGAUGACGGCUAAACCAUCAGUUGGAGCUUAAAGAAGAAAACACAUCUUGAUUUCUUGGUCCCCUCGUGAAGUUAAAAUUUUCUUCAAUUUUUUUUCAUUUACUUUUCUAAAAAAAAUUAUUUUCUCACAUCUUGAUUUCUUGGUCCUCUCAUAAAGUUAAAAUUUUCUUCAAUUCCUUUUCAUUUACUUUUUUUAAUUUUAUUUUCUGUGAUAUUUUGUUGCUGGAAAUUGAGAAUGUUUGAAGAGUUGAGAAUUUCUUCUCCCGGAUAGAAAAAAAAAAUGAAAAGGAAGAGAGAAAUGGAUUCAAUUUUAGUCAUAAAA